Molecule: non-coding RNA, 76 nt
Organism: Myotis lucifugus (little brown bat)
Lineage: Eukaryota; Metazoa; Chordata; Mammalia; Chiroptera; Vespertilionidae
Source: Rfam
GAGACACCCUUAUGGGGCAGGACUUGCUUCAGUGGGGCUUUGGUGCUCACUGAGUCUGCCCCCUGACUGUGUCUCU